Molecule: unclassified non-coding RNA, 380 nt
Filed under: soil metagenome
Description: partial contains 5.8S ribosomal RNA, internal transcribed spacer 2, and large subunit ribosomal RNA
Rfam family: 5.8S ribosomal RNA (bases 1-120)
Source: RNAcentral
GAUGAAGAACGCAGCGAAUUGCGAUAAGUAAUGUGAAUUGCAGAAUUCAGUGAAUCAUCGAAUCUUUGAACGCACCUUGCACCCUUUGGCAUUCUGAAGGGUAUGCUCGUUUGAGUGUCAUUGUACUCUCACACUCCCGAUCUUUGCAUUGGGAGCAGUGGACUUGGGUUUGCUGCUUCACCGUCGCUUACCUCAAAUAGGUUAGUGCAACUCUUGGUUGGACAUAGUACGGCGUGAUAAGUGUUCUUCGCCGGUGCCUCGCAAAGAGGGUGGCCGAUCGGGAUGUUGUGCUCCAAACCGUCUUCGGACAAUCUCUGACGACUUGACCUCAAAUCGAGUAAGACUACCCGCUGAACUUAAGCAUAUCAAUAAGCGGAGGA